CUCCUACGGGGGGCAGCAGUAGGGAAUCUCCCACAAUGGACGAAAGUCUGAUGGAGCAACGCCGCGUGAGUGAAGAAGGGUUUGGGCUCGUAAAGCUCUGUUGGUAGUGAAGAAAGAUAGAGGUAGUAACUGGCCUUUAUUUGACGGUAAUUACUUAGAAAGUCACGGCUAACUACGUUCCAGCAGCCGCGGUAAUACGUAGGUGGCAAGCGUUGUCCGGAUUUAUUUGGCGUAAAGCGAGU
This 242-nucleotide ribosomal RNA is filed under the name uncultured bacterium. RNAcentral's name for it is "partial 16S ribosomal RNA". It matches the Rfam family "Bacterial small subunit ribosomal RNA", at positions 336 to 570 of the family's 1533-position model. The record is from RNAcentral.